RNAcentral lists this microRNA precursor (114 nucleotides) under Eutrema salsugineum. Its description in RNAcentral is "mir-172 microRNA precursor family". It matches the Rfam family "mir-172 microRNA precursor family". Rfam says of the family: mir-172 has been experimentally verified in Arabidopsis thaliana. This family is thought to target mRNAs coding for APETALA2-like transcription factors. The record is from Rfam by way of RNAcentral. Lineage: Eukaryota; Viridiplantae; Streptophyta; Magnoliopsida; Brassicales; Brassicaceae.
UUGUUUGCUAUUGCAUCAUCUUCAAGAUUCAGAAAUCAGAUAUUUUGAUGGGUUCUCUUUUUGAGCCUAUCUUCUUUGGUUUGAGAAUCUUGAUGAUGCUGCAGCGGCAAUUAA